UUGAAGGAUUUGUAAGAAAUGUUUGAGGGAGUGUUUUAAGAUUCAGUUCCUUCAAACAUUUCUUACAGAUCCUUCAA
Non-coding RNA from Paramuricea clavata, 77 nucleotides. NCBI's taxonomy places the organism in Eukaryota, Metazoa, Cnidaria, Anthozoa, Malacalcyonacea, Plexauridae. The record is from the annotation of a GenBank genome assembly.